AGGAGCCGAAGAAGGACGGGACUAACACCGAUAUGCUUUGGGGAGCUGUACGUAAGCGUUGAUCCAGAGAUUUCCGAAUGGGGGAACCCACUAUCUUUAGUCGGAUAGUAUCCUUACGUGAAUACAUAGCGUGAGGAAGGCAGACCCAGGGAACUGAAACAUCUAAGUACCUGGAGGAAGAGAAAGAAAAAUCGAUUUCCUGAGUAGCGGCGAGCGAAACGGAAAGAGCCCAAACCAAGAAGCUUGCUUCUUGGGGUUGUAGGACACUCUAUACGGAGUUACAAAAGAAAGUUAUAAAUGAAGCGGUCUGGAAAGGCCCGCCAAAGACGGUAACAGCCCGGUAGUUGAAAUGGCUUUCCCUCCAGAGUGGAUCCUGAGUACGGCGGAACACGUGAAAUUCCGUCGGAAUCCGGGAGGACCAUCUCCCAAGGCUAAAUACUCCCUAGUGACCGAUAGUGAACCAGUACCGUGAGGGAAAGGUGAAAAGCACCCCGGAAGGGGAGUGAAACAGUUCCUGAAACCGUGUGCCUACAAGUAGUUAGAGCCCGUUAAUGGGUGAUAGCGUGCCUUUUGUAGAAUGAACCGGCGAGUUACGAUUUGUUGCAAGGUUAAGCGGAAAAAGCGGAGCCGUAGCGAAAGCGAGUCUGAAUAGGGCGCAUAAGUAACAGGUCGUAGACCCGAAACCAGGUGAUCUACCCAUGUCCAGGAUGAAGGUAAGGUAAUACUUACUGGAGGUCCGAACCCACGCACGUUGAAAAGUGCGGGGAUGAGGUGUGGGUAGCGGAGAAAUUCCAAUCGAACUUGGAGAUAGCUGGUUCUCUCCGAAAUAGCUUUAGGGCUAGCCUCGAGGUAAAGAGUCAUGGAGGUAGAGCACUGUUUGGACUAGGGGCCCUUCUCGGGUUACCGAAUU
This 910-nucleotide ribosomal RNA is filed under the name Listeria monocytogenes. RNAcentral describes it as "partial 23S ribosomal RNA". It matches the Rfam family "Bacterial large subunit ribosomal RNA", at positions 41 to 945 of the family's 2925-position model. Lineage: Bacteria; Bacillati; Bacillota; Bacilli; Caryophanales; Listeriaceae. The record is from RNAcentral.